This is a microRNA precursor of Seriola lalandi dorsalis, 106 nucleotides long. The record is from Ensembl. Lineage: Eukaryota; Metazoa; Chordata; Actinopteri; Carangiformes; Carangidae.
UGACGUGAGGCUUCGCCUAUAUAUACCCUGUAGAACCGAAUGUGUGUGGAGCUGCCUCAGUCACAGAUUGGGUUCUAGGGGAGUCUAUGGGCGAUGACUAACCAUC